UAAUUUUUCUUAAUUUUUUUUAUAUGAAUUAGUGAGUGUAUAUAUAUAUAUAUAUAUAUAUAUAUAUAUAUAGAGAGAGAGAGAGAGAGAGAGAGAGAGAGAGGCUACUUUCGAAUCGUCGAUCGGCUCCGUUAAAUUUGAUCUAGAGUAUUUGAAGUAUCUAGAAAAUAAAUUUUAUUAUUUUUCGAUAUCAUUUGCCUAGUUAUCGAAUGGGCUCAAAAUUAACAAAUUUUAAUUGUCGUAGUGAGCCGUUUGCAAAUUUAACGGUGUAGAAACAUCCAAAUCACGUGAAAUUUUGAUAGAAAAUUUUUUAUACUAUAUAAAACAAGAUCAAUAUCUUUGAUUUAAAAUUUUAAUGUCAUAUUAUCACAUUUUGUAAGAUUUUUAUUUUCAGCCGUUGAUUUUAAGCCCCUUCGUUCACUAGGCAAAUGAUAUCGUAAAAUUAUAAAAUUUAUUUUCUAGAUAUUUCAAAUACUCUAGAUCAAGUUUAACGGAGCCGAUCGACAAUUCGAAAGUCGCAACAUGAAAAAUGAGCUGGAAGUACGGAAGGCUCCGUGCUUUCGAUAGCAUAGUAGCCUCACUAUAUAUAUAUAUAUAUAUAUAGAAUUGAGCUAGAAUACUUUUACAAGUAUCACCUCUUUGGUGCUAUUAAGUUUUUAGCCAUUGGAUCUACUCCUUGAUUACUAAUAGUUCUUGGAUCAAACACUAUUCCACCUACCACCACCUACACCAUCAUCCCAACCCUAUAUUUCUCUAUCCAAGGAUUAAAAACUCACAAGCACCAUCCUCUUGAUGCUUUUAAAAGUAUUCUAGCUCAUCUCUCUCUCUCUAUAUAUAUAUAUAUAUAUAUAUGAGGAUAACAUCUAAUAUAAU
RNAcentral lists this long non-coding RNA (873 nucleotides) under Ananas comosus (pineapple). RNAcentral describes it as "long non-coding RNA (ACOM_LNC037340)". The record is from RNAcentral. Lineage: Eukaryota; Viridiplantae; Streptophyta; Magnoliopsida; Poales; Bromeliaceae.